This 87-nucleotide transfer RNA is filed under the name Lewinella sp. RNAcentral's name for it is "tRNA-Leu". It matches the Rfam family "tRNA". Rfam says of the family: Transfer RNA (tRNA) molecules are approximately 80 nucleotides in length. Their secondary structure includes four short double-helical elements and three loops (D, anti-codon, and T loops). Further hydrogen bonds mediate the characteristic L-shaped molecular structure. tRNAs have two regions of fundamental functional importance: the anti-codon, which is responsible for specific mRNA codon recognition, and the 3' end, to which the tRNAs corresponding amino acid is attached (by aminoacyl-tRNA synthetases). tRNAs cope with the degeneracy of the genetic code in two manners: having more than one tRNA (with a specific anti-codon) for a particular amino acid; and 'wobble' base-pairing, i.e. permitting non-standard base-pairing at the 3rd anti-codon position. The record is from RNAcentral. Lineage: Bacteria; Pseudomonadati; Bacteroidota; Saprospiria; Saprospirales; Lewinellaceae.
GCCCAGAUGGUGAAAUUGGUAGACACGCCAGCUUGAGGGGCUGGUGAGCGCAAGCUUGUGGAGGUUCAAAUCCUCUCCUGGGCACCA